UGGCUCUCGCAUCGAUGAAGAACGCAGCGAAAUGCGAUAAGUAAUGUGAAUUGCAGAAUUCAGUGAAUCAUCGAAUCUUUGAACGCACCUUGCGCCCCUUGGUAUUCCGAGGGGCAUGCCUGUUUGAGUGUCUUGAAAUCUUUGCGCCCGUCGGUUUCGCGACCGUCGGGGCAGACUUGGGGGCGUGCCGGGGUCCGUCCAUCGGGUCCCGGCUCCCCCUAAAUCCAUCGGUUGGGCAUUCGUGUGGCCUUUACCCUCUGGCGUUGUAAUCUCCUCGCCUACGGGUGGCUCGCGGCUUGUAUGUGCCCUCCCACGGCCUCCUCUGGAGCGGUGGCCAAGCUUUUUAAGAUCUGACCUCAAAUCAGGUAGGACUACCCGCUGA
This 382-nucleotide unclassified non-coding RNA is filed under the name uncultured fungus. RNAcentral describes it as "partial contains 5.8S ribosomal RNA and internal transcribed spacer 2". The stretch from base 1 to 133 matches the Rfam family "5.8S ribosomal RNA", at positions 22 to 154 of the family's 154-position model. Lineage: Eukaryota; Fungi. The record is from RNAcentral.